This is a non-coding RNA of Triticum aestivum (bread wheat), 115 nucleotides long. Lineage: Eukaryota; Viridiplantae; Streptophyta; Magnoliopsida; Poales; Poaceae. The record is from Rfam.
AUUCUACUCCAUCCGUUCGGAAUUAGUUGUCGCGAAAAUGGAUGUAUCUAGAACUAAAAUAUGUCUAGAUACAUUCAUUUCUGCGACAAGUAAUUCCGAACGGAGGGAGUAGAUG